This 253-nucleotide ribosomal RNA is filed under the name uncultured bacterium. RNAcentral's name for it is "partial 16S ribosomal RNA". It matches the Rfam family "Bacterial small subunit ribosomal RNA", at positions 524 to 776 of the family's 1533-position model. The record is from RNAcentral.
UACGUAGGGCGCAAGCGUUGUCCGGAAUUAUUGGGCGUAAAGAGCUCGUAGGCGGUCUGUCGCGUCUGCCGUGAAAACCCGAGGCUUAACCUCGGGCUGGCGGUGGAUACGGGCAGACUAGAGGUAGGUAGGGGAGAAUGGAAUUCCCGGUGUAGCGGUGAAAUGCGCAGAUAUCGGGAGGAACACCGGCGGCGAAGGCGGUUCUCUGGGCCUUACCUGACGCUGAGGAGCGAAAGCGUGGGGAGCGAACAGG